GAGUUUGAUCCUGGCUCAGAACGAACGCUGGCGGCGUGCUUAACACAUGCAAGUCGAACGUGAUCCGGAGCUUGCUCCGGUGAAAGUGGCGCACGGGUGAGUAACGCGUGGAUAAUCUGCCCUGGUAUCUGGGAUAACAUCUCGAAAGGGGUGCUAAUACCGGAUAAGCCUACGGUCUCUUCGGAGUCUGCAGGAAAAGGUGGCCUCUAUUUAUAAGCUACCGUAUCAGGAUGAGUCCGCGUACCAUUAGCUAGUUGGUGGGGUAAUGGCCCACCAAGGCUACGAUGGUUAGCUGGUCUGAGAGGAUGAUCAGCCACACUGGAACUGAGACACGGUCCAGACUCCUACGGGAGGCAGCAGUGGGGAAUUUUGCGCAAUGGGGGAAACCCUGACGCAGCAACGCCGCGUGAGUGAUGAAGGCUUUCGGGUCGUAAAGCUCUGUCAGAGGGGAAGAAAUGAGACUGGCUAAUAUCCAGUUUUCUUGACGGUACCCUCAAAGGAAGCACCGGCUAACUCCGUGCCAGCAGCCGCGGUAAUACAAGGGCGMMUUS
RNAcentral lists this ribosomal RNA (551 nucleotides) under uncultured Geobacteraceae bacterium. Its description in RNAcentral is "bacterial SSU rRNA". It matches the Rfam family "Bacterial small subunit ribosomal RNA", at positions 9 to 539 of the family's 1533-position model. Lineage: Bacteria; Pseudomonadati; Thermodesulfobacteriota; Desulfuromonadia; Geobacterales; Geobacteraceae. The record is from RNAcentral.